GACGAACGCUGGCGGCGUGCCUAAUACAUGCAAGUAGAACGCUGAAGCGAGGAGCUUGCUCUUCUUGGGUGAGUUGCGAACGGGUGAGUAACGCGUAGGUAACCUGCCUUGUAGCGGUGGAUAACUAUUGGAAACGAUAGCUAAUACCGCAUAACAAUGGCUGACACAUGUCAUUUAUUUGAAAGGGGCAAUUGCUCCACUACAAGAUGGACCUGCGUUGUAUUAGCUAGUAGGUGAGGUAACCGCUCACCUAGGCGACGAUACAUAGCCUACCUGAGAGGGUGAUCGGGCACACUGGGACUGAGACACGGCCCAGACUCCUGCGGGAGGCAGCAGUAGGGGAUCUUCGGCAAAGGGGGCAACCCUGACCGAGCAACGCCGCGUGAGUGAAGAAGGUGUUCGGAUCGUAAAGCUCUGUUGUAAGGCAAGAAAGAGUGUGAGAGUGGAAAGUUCACACUGUGACGGUAGCUUAACAGAAAGGGACGGCUAACUACGUGC
This 498-nucleotide ribosomal RNA is filed under the name uncultured bacterium. RNAcentral's name for it is "partial 16S ribosomal RNA". It matches the Rfam family "Bacterial small subunit ribosomal RNA", at positions 28 to 508 of the family's 1533-position model. The record is from RNAcentral.